Long non-coding RNA from Megalops cyprinoides (Indo-Pacific tarpon), 2479 nucleotides. RefSeq lists it as uncharacterized. The transcript is spliced from 4 exons. The record is from RefSeq and is a predicted model, not a curated record. Lineage: Eukaryota; Metazoa; Chordata; Actinopteri; Elopiformes; Megalopidae.
CCUUCACCAGAAAUCUUCAAAAAACUGCCUGCCGCUCCUGUGCCGGACCCUGCCUCUGCCUGGCCAGGCCUGCUCAGAUUUAUGGCACAGUCCUGCGUCCUACUUUAGACCUGGAAGGGAUUUGUAAAGAGAAUGUGCAGAGAGGUGGCCAGCGGCUUCUGCGUGUUCCCUGAUUGAGGCACUACACAAAACAAAACAAGGGAGGAAAAAAAAAAAAAAAAAAAACAUGAACCGAAAACCACAAAAAAAGAACACUCCGUCCGGGGCUUCCCCUCUACUGCCCCACCGAGGAACGUCACUUCGCUCCGUCCGGCUGCGGCAGCCACCGAGCGAUUUCCUAGUGACGGCGCCACCGCGAGCAGAGGGACGCAUGUACGCGAGUGCCUACAAUUCUUGGUUGAUUGCUCAUGUCACCCUACUACCAACUCAUUAAAGGACCUCACAAACGGUGGAAUGGUGGAAAGGACUGGUGGGAAAAUCCUACAAGGAUCCACCCUACAAGGAUCUUCCUCGUUGGGAUGAAGGCCCUGCACCAGCAUCCAUGCAGUCAUGUGACUGCCCGCAAACAGGAAGGCAGACACCAAAAGCACAGGUGACCCUCAGUGGCACAUCAGCAGGGAAAACAAAGUAAGCAAUCAGCGCCACUGUACUGGCAGUUGGAUGUUUACUCGUUGGACAUUUACUAAAUGUGGGGACACUUAUAUCCCCUGCUUCACCCUUAAUGUGUAGAUUCAGGGACAUAUCUGGAAAGGUUUUAUUUAGCCCAGAUAAGCUGCAUCUGAGAAAGCACUGAGUACAAGGAUGUCUUCCUCAAGCACGGAACGCGCCCGACUUCCUGCCAAGAGAAUUUUAAUGAUGCAAAUAAAAGCCUCGCAUCCCUCAUUGUCUGCCAGUUAUGUCAUCCCCAUUUGUUUUUAUUACCCUUUAAAAAGAACACCGUAACAGGUCUGCGUCGCAGCAAAGCGGCGAUAAAACUCUCCAGAUGACAGUAAAUGUUUCCUUUUACCUUGGACUUCGGUGUUUCUGACUCCCACAAAGCGUUCCUAACUGCUGGAAAUUGCUCUCGGAGGACUGACAGCUGGAUAUUGAUCUUGGAUUAGAGGUGCACACCUCUCUGCCAGGCUCCCCUUGUCACCUGCAAGUUAGUGGAUCACUUGCUAAAAACUCCUCCAAAGAUGAAAAAGGCGGCGCAGAGCCUGCCUCGGCAUACCAAUGGCCCCAACUCAUUAAACUAAUGGGGGGUCAGAUCGCCCUUACCGAGCAUGCUCUGACACCCUUUGAGUUUGCCAGGGCUAGAGGGUGCGCAGCACUUUGAAAACCCUGACCGGCAUAUUGAGCGCGCUUUAAUAAAGCCCUUCUGAGGCCCCUGGUAGGAUGCGGUGGAACUCCGUGCCUUUAAGUUCCCACACCUCCCUGUGUGAACUUGUCAGAUAUCGGCGCCGGUGUCGAAUCGGGACCGGACUGGACGAGGCUUUGGUUGGGGGGGGGUUGGGCGAUGCAAGGCAAAUUAGACCAGCGGUGUGUGCACGUCUCAGAGGAGGCCAUUCUUUCCCCCGGACUCGAGUCCUUCAGAGCAGCAGUGCCGUGCUCUUUGAUGUGGAAAGGUGUCCAGUUUAAGACCCUGAAAGAGGGCGGCUUUGGAAGAGAUUCGGCGGGAUUCCCUUCGGUGAACAGCGGGGAAGUCGGCCUCCUUGUCGGUGGACGACGCUGGGCUGCGCGGAUUUAAUUACGCUGCCGCCUCUUCUCCUCCUCGUCCUGCUAUUGUACGCGAACUGUACAGGCCCGCGGGACCCCCGAUAGAACUAUUGUCACUGUCCCAGCUCAUUCAAAGUGAUGACACCAACCCAAAUCACCCAACAAUAAGGGCUGAGCAUCAAGAAUGCAGUAUGAACCAAAAAGAACAACAAACACAAGAAAGGAACCUCUGCGGUCGACAAUAGCGAUGAAAGACGAAAAAGAAUGCCUGAUUGGUUUUUGACGAAAGCUUUGCUAUUGUUUGAGCAAACAAUCCACAUUAUAAUGUAAUUAUGAAUGAACAAAUUGCACAGAUGACCCCAGAGCAAAGAGAUACAGUGAUAAAAAGGUGUAUAGUAAAUCUAGAGUGUGCAUUUACAUGACAAAACCACCCUUUUAGUAGUAAAAAGCUAUCCUUAGAGUCAUAUAAAACAGAAAUACAUGAUAUAAAGAUAAGACCAGACAUAUUAAACAAUAGCCUCUGGGAACACAGGUGUAAGUUUAGUGUUGCAUGCUUGUUACAGAUAUGAAUGAGCUGGCAAAUGCCAUCCAAUAAGCUGUAAAGCUAUUACUUGUAAGCAUCUAAAAGCUUAUAAUAAUUCAGUGAUUAUCUUCUCUGAUUUUCCAUUUGGAGCUCUAGUGUAAGUGAAACUAUACGUAGGUAUAAUGACAUUGAGCAACACUUCUCACAGGGCGGAGUGAGGUGAAAAGACAUUACUGAAUGAUAUUGUUAGAUAUACCCAAU